CUGGAUCCCGUUAUCCUGGAUCCCGUUAUCCUGGAUCCCGUUAUCCCUGGAUUUUUUUUCCCUGCAUCCCGUUAUCCUGGAUCCCAUUUUCCCUGAUUCCCAUUUUCCCUGGAUCCCGUUAUCCUGAAUCCCGUUAUCCUGAAUCCCGUUAUCCUGGAUCCCGUUAUCCUGGAUCCCAUUUUCCCUGGAUCCCAUUUUCCCUGGAUCCUGUUUUCCCAGAAUCCCAUUUUCCCUGAAUCCCAUUAUCCCGAAUUUUUUUUCCCUGGCUCCCAUUUUCCCUGGAUCCCAUUAUCCCAGAAUCCCAUUAUCCUGGAUCCCGUUAUCCCUGGAUCCCAUUUUCCCUGGAUCCCAUUUUCCCCGGAUCCCGUUAUCCUGGAUCCCGUUUUCCCAGAAUCCCAUUUUCCCCGGAUCCAUUUUCCCU
This 421-nucleotide long non-coding RNA is filed under the name Taeniopygia guttata (zebra finch). RNAcentral's name for it is "lncRNA (ENSTGUG00000023021.1)". The record is from RNAcentral. Lineage: Eukaryota; Metazoa; Chordata; Aves; Passeriformes; Estrildidae.